GGGGGAUUAGUUUAAUCGGUAAAACACUGGUUUUGCAAAUCAGAAAAAGGAGUUCGAAUCUCCUAUCCUCCACCA
This 75-nucleotide transfer RNA is filed under the name Klebsiella pneumoniae. Its description in RNAcentral is "tRNA-Ala". It matches the Rfam family "tRNA". Rfam says of the family: Transfer RNA (tRNA) molecules are approximately 80 nucleotides in length. Lineage: Bacteria; Pseudomonadati; Pseudomonadota; Gammaproteobacteria; Enterobacterales; Enterobacteriaceae. The record is from RNAcentral.